AGAGUUUGAUCAUGGCUCAGAUUGAACGCUGGCGGCAGGCCUAACACAUGCAAGUCGAGCGGUAGCACGGGAGAGCUUGCUCUCUGGGUGACGAGCGGCGGACGGGUGAGUAAUGUCUGGGAAACUGCCUGAUGGAGGGGGAUAACUACUGGAAACGGUAGCUAAUACCGCAUAACCUCGCAAGAGCAAAGAGGGGGACCUUCGGGCCUCUCGCCAUCAGAUGUGCCCAGAUGGGAUUAGCUAGUAGGUGAGGUAAUGGCUCACCUAGGCGACGAUCCCUAGCUGGUCUGAGAGGAUGACCAGCCACACUGGAACUGAGACACGGUCCAGACUCCUACGGGAGGCAGCAGUGGGGAAUAUUGCACAAUGGGCGCAAGCCUGAUGCAGCCAUGCCGCGUGUGUGAAGAAGGCCUUCGGGUUGUAAAGCACUUUCAGCGGGGAGGAAGGCGGUGAGGUUAAUAACCUCAUCGAUUGACGUUACCCGCAGAAGAAGCACCGGCUAACUCCGUGCCAGCAGCCGCGGUAAUACGGAGGGUGCAAGCGUUAAUCGGAAUGACUGGGCGUAAAGCGCACGCAGGCGGUCUGUUAAGUUGGAUGUGAAAUCCCCGGGCUUAACCUGGGAACUGCAUUCAAAACUGACAGGCUAGAGUCUUGUAGAGGGGGGUAGAAUUCCAGGUGUAGCGGUGAAAUGCGUAGAGAUCUGGAGGAAUACCGGUGGCGAAGGCGGCCCCCUGGACAAAGACUGACGCUCAGGUGCGAAAGCGUGGGGAGCAAACAGGAUUAGAUACCCUGGUAGUCCACGCUGUAAACGAUGUCGAUUUGGAGGUUGUGCCCUUGAGGCGUGGCUUCCGGAGCUAACGCGUUAAAUCGACCGCCUGGGGAGUACGGCCGCAAGGUUAAAACUCAAAUGAAUUGACGGGGGCCCGCACAAGCGGUGGAGCAUGUGGUUUAAUUCGAUGCAACGCGAAGAACCUUACCUACUCUUGACAUCCAGAGAACUUAGCAGAGAUGCUUUGGUGCCUUCGGGAACUCUGAGACAGGUGCUGCAUGGCUGUCGUCAGCUCGUGUUGUGAAAUGUUGGGUUAAGUCCCGCAACGAGCGCAACCCUUAUCCUUUGUUGCCAGCGAUUCGGUCGGGAACUCAAAGGAGACUGCCGGUGAUAAACCGGAGGAAGGUGGGGAUGACGUCAAGUCAUCAUGGCCCUUACGAGUAGGGCUACACACGUGCUACAAUGGCGUAUACAAAGAGAAGCGACCUCGCGAGAGCAAGCGGACCUCAUAAAGUACGUCGUAGUCCGGAUUGGAGUCUGCAACUCGACUCCAUGAAGUCGGAAUCGCUAGUAAUCGUAGAUCAGAAUGCUACGGUGAAUACGUUCCCGGGCCUUGUACACACCGCCCGUCACACCAUGGGAGUGGGUUGCAAAAGAAGUAGGUAGCUUAACCUUCGGGAGGGCGCUUACCACUUUGUGAUUCAUGACUGGGGUGAAGUCGUAACAAGGUAACCGUAGGGGAACCUGCGGUUGGAUCACCU
This 1530-nucleotide ribosomal RNA is filed under the name Pectobacterium brasiliense. RNAcentral describes it as "bacterial SSU rRNA". It matches the Rfam family "Bacterial small subunit ribosomal RNA". The record is from RNAcentral. Lineage: Bacteria; Pseudomonadati; Pseudomonadota; Gammaproteobacteria; Enterobacterales; Pectobacteriaceae.